This 672-nucleotide ribosomal RNA is filed under the name uncultured archaeon. Its description in RNAcentral is "bacterial SSU rRNA". It matches the Rfam family "Archaeal small subunit ribosomal RNA", at positions 325 to 998 of the family's 1478-position model. The record is from RNAcentral.
ACGGGGCGCAGCAGGCGCGAAAACUCCGCAAUGUUCGAAAGAACGACGGGGGAACUCCAAGUGCAUUUGCGUAAGCAAGUGAUUUUUAGUAGUGUAAAUAGCUGUUAGAAUAAGAGCUGGGUAAGACCGGUGCCAGCCGCCGCGGUAACACCGGCAGCUCGAGUGGUGACCGCUUUUAUUGGGCCUAAAGCGUUCGUAGCCGGUUCAGUAAGUCUUUGGGCAAAUCUUCUCGCUUAACGAAAAGAAUUCCGAAGAUACUGCUGGACUUGGGGCCGAGGGAGGUUAGAGGUACUCCUGGGGUAGGGGUGAAAUCCUAUAAUCCUGGGGGGACCGCCAGUGGCGAAGGCGUCUAACCAGAGCGGACCCGACGGUGAGGGACGAAAGCCAGGGGCGCGAACGGGAUUAGAUACCCCGGUAGUCCUGGCCGUAAACGCUGCAUGCUAGGUGUUGCAUGCUCUACGGGGGCAUGCAGUGCCGAAGAGAAGUUGAUAAGCGUGCCGCCUGGGAAGUAUUAUCGCAAGGUGGAAACUUAAAGGAAUUGGCGGGGGAGCACCACAAGGGGUGGAGUCUGCGGUUCAAUUGGAUUCAACGCCGGAAAUCUCACCGGAGGCGACGGCAGGAUGAUGGCCAGGUUGAAGAUCUUGCUUGACAAGCCGAGAGGAGGUGCAUGGC